GUCUGGAGACAGGUGCUGCGAUGGCUGUCGUCAGCUCGUGUCGUGGAGAUGUUGGGUUAAGUACCCGCAACGAGCGCAACCCUUGCCUUUAGUUGCCAGCAGUUCGGCUGGGCACUCUAAAGGGACUGCCGGUGUUAAACCGGAGGAAGGUGGGGAUGACGUCAAGUCCUCAUGGCCUUUAUGACCAGGGCUACACACGUACUACAAUGGCCGAUACAAAGGGCAGCGACACUGCGAGGUGAAGCCAAUCCCGUAAAAUCGGUCUCAGUCCGGAUUGGAGUCUGCAGCUCGACUCCAUGAAGUUGGAAUCGCUAGUAAUCGUGGAUCAGCAUGCCACGGUGAAUACGUUCCCGGGCCUU
Molecule: ribosomal RNA, 359 nt
Filed under: uncultured Desulfobulbus sp.
Lineage: Bacteria; Pseudomonadati; Thermodesulfobacteriota; Desulfobulbia; Desulfobulbales; Desulfobulbaceae
Description: bacterial SSU rRNA
Rfam family: Bacterial small subunit ribosomal RNA
Source: RNAcentral